GCAAGGAAUAUUGGGCAAUGGGCGAAAGCCUGACCCAGCGACACCGCGUGGGGGAAGAAGGUUUUCGGAUCGUAAACCCCUUUUCCCAGGGAAGAUAGUGACGGUACCUGAGGAAUAAGUCCCGGCCAACUACGUGCCAGCAGCCGCGGUAAUACGUAGGAGGCGAACGUUAUCCGGAUUUACUGGGCGUAAAGAGAGCGUAGGCGGUCGCUUAAGUCGAGUGUGAAAUCUCUUGACUCAAUCAAGAGGGGUCAUUCGAUACUGGGAGACUCGAGGGCGGCAGAAGGAAACGGAAUUCCGAGUGUAGCGGUGAAAUGCGUUGAUAUUCGGAAGAACACCAGUGGCGAAGGCGGUUUCCUAGGCUGUUCCUGACGCUGAGGCUCGAAAGCGUGGGGAGCGAAGCGGAUUAGAUACCCGCGUAGUCCACGCCGUAAACGGUGAACACUAGAUAUGGGGAGUAUCGACCCUCCUCGUGUCGAAGCUAACGCUUUAAGUGGUCCCGCC
Molecule: ribosomal RNA, 504 nt
Filed under: uncultured bacterium
Lineage: Bacteria
Description: bacterial SSU rRNA
Rfam family: Bacterial small subunit ribosomal RNA
Source: RNAcentral